RNAcentral lists this ribosomal RNA (309 nucleotides) under Triticum aestivum (bread wheat). RNAcentral describes it as "partial small subunit ribosomal RNA". Lineage: Eukaryota; Viridiplantae; Streptophyta; Magnoliopsida; Poales; Poaceae. The record is from RNAcentral.
AUGCAUAUGCAUCGCAUACCGCAUCCCGCAUAUCAUACCAUGUUCAUGUGUUGGUUGUUUACUAUGUUAUGUGCUUCUUUCUGGUGUUUGCUUCUUCGGGUUGGUUCUGAUAACGUCGCGUUUGUGAGGACCCAUUCGUCUACGUCCGUUUGUCUUCUUCAUGGACUCGUUCUUCUUCCUUGCAGGAUUUCAGGCAAGAUGACCAUACCCUCGAAAUCACUUCUAUCUUUGCUUGCUAGUUGCUCGAUCUUUUGCUAUGCCUAUACUGCGAUACCUACCACUUGCUUAUCAUGCGUCCCAUAUUGUUAA